CGGUUUGGGUUUAGGGUCUAAGACUUGGGUUUAGGGUAUAAGGUUUAGGUUUAUAGUAUAUUUUUGGGUUUCAGGUAUAUAAUUUGGAUUUAGGGUCUAAGAUUAGGUUUUAGGAUAUAGGGUUUGAGUUUAGGGGUUUAGAUUUGAGUUUAGAAUUUAGGGUAUAGGGUUUAGAAUUUAAGAUUUAGGGUUUAGGGUUUCGCUGGAAGCGUUAGCGUCGUUAAAAUUAACGGUUUUAUUUUUUGUAGCUAUUUUUUAUUUAAUUUAAUAUUUUUUAAUUAAUAAUAUAUGUGUCACUUUGAUUGAUCAUAAA
RNAcentral lists this long non-coding RNA (313 nucleotides) under Brassica napus (rape). Its description in RNAcentral is "long non-coding RNA (BNAP_LNC013078)". The record is from RNAcentral. Lineage: Eukaryota; Viridiplantae; Streptophyta; Magnoliopsida; Brassicales; Brassicaceae.